AGAGUUUGAUCCUGGCUCAGGAUGAACGCUGGCGGCGUGCUUAACACAUGCAAGUCGAGCGAAGCGCUCACGCGGAAUUUUUCGGAAGGAAGCGGGAGUGACUUAGCGGCGGACGGGUGAGUAACGCGUGGGUAACCUGCCCCAUACCGGGGGAUAACGGUUAGAAAUGACCGCUAAUACCGCUUAAGCGCGCGAGGCCGCAUGGCCGCACGCGGAAAACUCCGGUGGUAUGGGAUGGGCCCGCGUCUGAUUAGGUAGUUGGCGGGGUAAGGGCCCACCAAGCCGACGAUCAGUAGCCGACCUGAGAGGGUGGCCGGCCACAUUGGGACUGAGACACGGCCCAAACUCCUACGGGAGGCAGCAGUGGGGAAUAUUGCGCAAUGGGGGAAACCCUGACGCAGCAACGCCGCGUGAGUGAAGAAGUAUCUCGGUAUGUAAAGCUCUAUCAGCGGGGAAGAAGGAAGACGGUACCCGACUAAGAAGCCCCGGCUAACUACGUGCCAGCAGCCGCGGUAAUACGUAGGGGGCGAGCGUUAUCCGGAUUUACUGGGUGUAAAGGGAGCGUAGACGGCGGCGCAAGUCUGAAGUGAAAGCCCGUGGCUCAACCGCGGAACCGCUUUGGAAACUGCGAGGCUGGAGUGCUGGAGAGGUAAGCGGAAUUCCUGGUGUAGCGGUGAAAUGCGUAGAUAUCAGGAGGAACACCGGUGGCGAAGGCGGCUUACUGGACAGUGACUGACGUUGAGGCUCGAAAGCGUGGGGAGCGAACAGGAUUAGAUACCCUGGUAGUCCACGCGGUAAACGAUGAGUGCUAGGUGUCGGGGGGCAAAGCCCCUCGGUGCCGCCGCUAACGCAAUAAGCACUCCACCUGGGGAGUACGUUCGCAAGAAUGAAACUCAAAGGAAUUGACGGGGACCCGCACAAGCGGUGGAGCAUGUGGUUUAAUUCGAAGCAACGCGAAGAACCUUACCAAGUCUUGACAUCCCGCUGCCGUACCUGGAGACAGGUAUUUUCCUCGGAACAGCGGAGACAGGUGGUGCAUGGUUGUCGUCAGCUCGUGUCGCGAGAUGUUGGGUUAAGUCCCGCAACGAGCGCAACCCUUAUCCUCAGUAGCCAGCGGCCAGGCCGGGCACUCUGUGGAGACUGCCAGGGACAACCUGGAGGAAGGCGGGGAUGACGUCAAAUCAUCAUGCCCCUUAUGACUUGGGCGACACACGUGCUACAAUGGCGUAAACAAAGGGAUGCGAAGGGGCGACCUGGAGCGAACCCCAAAAAUAACGUCCCAGUUCGGAUUGUAGUCUGCAACCCGACUACAUGAAGCUGGAAUCGCUAGUAAUCGCGAAUCAGAAUGUCGCGGUGAAUACGUUCCCGGGUCUUGUACACACCGCCCGUCACACCAUGGGAGCCGGUAACGCCCGAAGUCGGUGACCCAACCGUAAGGAGGGAGCCGCCGAAGGCGGGACUGGUAACUGGGGUGAAGUCGUAACAAGGUAACC
Molecule: ribosomal RNA, 1493 nt
Filed under: uncultured bacterium
Lineage: Bacteria
Description: bacterial SSU rRNA
Rfam family: Bacterial small subunit ribosomal RNA
Source: RNAcentral